RNAcentral lists this ribosomal RNA (480 nucleotides) under Triticum aestivum (bread wheat). RNAcentral's name for it is "partial small subunit ribosomal RNA". Lineage: Eukaryota; Viridiplantae; Streptophyta; Magnoliopsida; Poales; Poaceae. The record is from RNAcentral.
AUGCUCGGCCACCCUGAUCCGGAUGUAAUGUCAAUAUGUCAUCGCCUCAUCGGUGGCGCAUCAGGCGGAGAGGCUGCAACCUCAGGCACCCCGAAUCUGUCCAAGAAGGCCAUAUAUGGAGGCUUCCUUUCCAACUGCUCAGCCAUGGAGGCGUCUCACUGCUGCCCAUCUCAACUUGGCACCAGCGUCAACAAUAGUCCACCUCCUCUCUCUGGUGCCGCCCCGGAUGAUUCAGCACAAAGCUAUGCUCUUUCCUGUUGGCUAUUGUUUUGCUACGGCCAACUCCCUACUACGGCGACGCUAUCUGUUGAUUUGAAGACGGCGCUCCACUUCCUCUCCCCACUAUCUCCACAGGAAACUGAUGCAUUGCGCUUUAAAGUCUGCUCGGCCUCGCCUCAUUUCGUUCCAUCCUCCAGUACGGAUGGGUCUCUAACACACAAUCACUGCCUCCGGACUACGUGCUCGACGACGCCCAAGUAG